ACGAACGCUGGCGGCGUGCUUAACACAUGCCAGUCGCACGGAAAGGCCCUGCUUGCAGGGUACUCGAGUGGCGAACGGGUGAGUAGAACGUAGGUGAUCUGCCCUGCACUUCGGGAUAAGCCUGGGAAACCGGGUCUAAUCCCGGAUAGGAGCCAUUUUUAGUGUGCUGGUUGGAAAGGUUUUUCGGUGUGGGAUGAGAUCGCGGCCUAUCAGCUUGUUGUUGGGGUAAUGGCCUACCAAGGCGGCGACGGGUAGCCGGCCUGCGGGGGUGGACGGCCACAGUUGGACUGAGAAACAGCCCAGACUCCUACGGAAGGCAGCAGGGGGGAAUAUUGCACAAGUGGCGCAAGCCCGAUGCAGCGACGCCGCGUGGGGGAUGACGGCCUUCGGGUUGUAAACUCCUUUCGCUAGGUACGAAGCGUUGUGUGACGGUACCUAGAUAAGAAGCACCGGCUAACUACGUG
RNAcentral lists this ribosomal RNA (464 nucleotides) under uncultured bacterium. RNAcentral describes it as "partial 16S ribosomal RNA". It matches the Rfam family "Bacterial small subunit ribosomal RNA", at positions 29 to 507 of the family's 1533-position model. The record is from RNAcentral.